Molecule: long non-coding RNA, 1466 nt
Filed under: Rhinopithecus bieti (black snub-nosed monkey)
Lineage: Eukaryota; Metazoa; Chordata; Mammalia; Primates; Cercopithecidae
Description: lncRNA (ENSRBIG00000045207.1)
Source: RNAcentral
GGCAGCGGGAGGUGGGGCUGCUGACGUCGCCAUCUUGUUGAGGGGCGCGGCCGGCUUGGUGCGGACAUGUUUAUGAGGGGCAACCUCUCGCUUGAGGUCUCAGCCUAGAUCUGUGUUCUCUUCCUGGUAGAGACAUUGAGUGAUGGAGCUGGAAGGGGACUGAGAUACCAUCUCGCCUGGCUGCCUGACUGAGGCCCACAGAGAGAGAGUGUAGUAAAUUCUGUCUGAACAGGAAGCAGGCUGUUGAACAGUUGCUUAGUGCAGUUCUCAGCUUAACACCCAGCACAGGAAAAACUGAUUCAAGAACAUUGUCCAUCAACUGUCAAUCAACAUUUAUUGUCAGAACUCUCUUCACAGCAUUGGUUCCAAUCCCAGAAAAACCAGACUCUGUGCUUCCCAAUUAUCACAGGCACCGGCCCAGGGGAGAUGAGAAGAGGAAGAAAAACACUGUGUUCUUUGAGAAGUGGCUCCUUCUGCAUUUGUUUGGCACCAAGAAAAAGCCACAGAGAUCUGGGUGUGCCUCAUGUCGGUCCCUUGUCCAUGAAAUGAUGGGCAAUCUGUUGUCUGUCUUUCUGAAGAGCCUCAUGUUUUCCCAACCAAACCUUGUCUCACAGGAGAUGCCCUCUCCACCUGUCUACGUGUCCUUCCUGCUGAGACCAUCAAUGACGGGUUUCCUCUGCCCCAGACAUCGCAGACAAUAGUGACCUGUGUGGUGUCAGGGAGGAUGCAAGCGCUCCAGGUACCCCACUGAGGUCCUUUCAUCCCCCUGGCACAUACGAAGACCCAGCUUGGAUUCCCAUGGAGGCUGUUUGCUGAGCCUUAGAGCGGCUUGACUUGCCUCCGUGUUGGAAAUUCUGCCCGUGAGCAGAUGGAUUACUGUGGGCCAGCUGUCUGUCUGUCUGUCUUUAUUACCCCAGGGAGCUGUGGUUCUGAACCUCCUAUUUGGGGGUUUUAGAACUAAGUGUUUCAGGGAAGUAGAACAUUGCAUUGACAGACAGGAGAACUGGAGUCGUUCCUGGCUAGCCCAGGUUCUCACUGCAUGACCUUGGGCAAGUCAAGCCUCCUCUUUGGCUAUCAAUUUUGUCUGCUCAAUGGGUACAGUGGGGAGAACGAGACAGUAGCCCUAGGCUCCUGUUUUUCAUGACCUUGUUAUUUGUAAGGUAUGCAGACAUAAAGCUUCCUCGUUAUCUGUAAGGGAGACAAAUAAAGUAAGAACUAACGAUUACCUCAAGAUCUCUUUAAUCUAGUUAGAGCGACAGACUGACAACAUGAAAUAGUGCAUGCCAGACAUCAUAUAAUUAAAUGCCAGCUGUCUGGUACUCGCUAUUGUUGCAUUUGGAGUACAGAAAAAAGAGAAUGGGAUGGGUAUUUGGAGGUGGCUUUGUGGAGGCUAUGGGUCCAGGAGGACAGGUGAGAUUGCGUCAGGCAAAGAUGCAGGAGAGGGCAUCCCAGGGGGGAACCCACAG